Molecule: ribosomal RNA, 433 nt
Filed under: uncultured bacterium
Lineage: Bacteria
Description: partial 16S ribosomal RNA
Rfam family: Bacterial small subunit ribosomal RNA
Source: RNAcentral
AACGAACGCUGGCGGCAUGCCUAACACAUGCAAGUCGAACGAGACCUUCGGGUCUAGUGGCGCACGGGUGCGUAACGCGUGGGAACCUGCCCUUAGGUUCGGAAUAACUCCCCCGAAAGGGGUGCUAUACCGGAUAAUGUCUUCGGACCAAAGAUUUAUCGCCUUUGGAUGGGCCCGCGUUGGAUUAGCUAGUUGGUAGGGUAAAAGCCUACCAAGGCGACGAUCCAUAGCUGGUCUGAGAGGAUGAUCAGCCACACUGGGACUGAGACACGGCCCAGACUCCUACGGGAGGCAGCAGUGGGGAAUAUUGGACAAUGGGCGAAAGCCUGAUCCAGCAAUGCCGCGUGAGUGAUGAAGGCCUUAGGGUUGUAAAGCUCUUUUACCCGGGAUGAUAAUGACAGUACCGGGAGAAUAAGCUCCGGCUAACUCCGUG